UACGUAGGGGGCUAGCGUUGUCCGGAUUUAUUGGGCGUAAAGAGCGUGUAGGCGGCCAUGUAGGUCCGGUGUGAAAACUCGAGGCUUAACCUCGAGAUGUCAUCGGAAACCAUUUGGCUAGAGUCCGGAAGAGGAGACUGGAAUUCCUGGUGUAGCGGUGAAAUGCGCAGAUAUCAGGAGGAACACCGGUGGCGAAGGCGGGUCUCUGGGCCGAUACUGACGCUGAGGAGCGAAAGCGUGGGGAGCGAACAGG
Molecule: ribosomal RNA, 253 nt
Filed under: uncultured bacterium
Lineage: Bacteria
Description: partial 16S ribosomal RNA
Rfam family: Bacterial small subunit ribosomal RNA
Source: RNAcentral